ACGGGAGGCAGCAGUGGGGAAUAUUGCGCAAUGGGGGAAACCCUGACGCAGCAACGCCGCGUGAAGGAAGAAGGUCUUCGGAUUGUAAACUUUUGUCUUCAAGGAAGAACAAUGACAGUACUUGGGGAGGAAGCUCCGGCUAACUACGUGCCAGCAGCCGCGGUAAUACGUAGGGAGCAAGCGUUGUCCGGAAUUACUGGGUGUAAAGGGUGCGUAGGCGGGUAUGCAAGUCAUAUGUGAAAUACCGGGGCUUAACUCCGGAGCUGCAUAAGAAACUGUAUAUCUUGAGUGCAGGAGAGGUAAGCGGAAUUCCUAGUGUAGCGGUGAAAUGCGUAGAUAUUAGGAAGAACACCAGUGGCGAAGGCGGCUUUCUGGACUGAAACUGACGCUGAGGCUCGAAAGCGUGGGGAGCAAACAGGAUUAGAUACCCUGGUA
The sequence is a ribosomal RNA, 435 nucleotides long. It matches the Rfam family "Bacterial small subunit ribosomal RNA", at positions 341 to 792 of the family's 1533-position model.